Molecule: unclassified non-coding RNA, 268 nt
Filed under: plant metagenome
Description: partial contains small subunit ribosomal RNA, internal transcribed spacer 1, and 5.8S ribosomal RNA
Rfam family: 5.8S ribosomal RNA (bases 220-268)
Source: RNAcentral
UUUCCGUAGGUGAACCUGCGGAAGGAUCAUUAUCGAAAUACUUAUUUAGCGUUCCGUGCUAUCCCAUUGUUUUAUUUACCCUGUUGCUUCCACUGGAUGAGUUUCCAUACCUUGUGUUUGAGAAACUUUGGCUUGUUCGGAGGGGGGCUUACGUUUUCACACAAACUUUGUAUGCAGUGUAGAAUGUAUUUUUUGUUUUUGCGAUCACGCAAUCAAUACAACUUUCAACAACGGAUCUCUUGGCUCUCGCAUCGAUGAUGAACGCAGC